Molecule: ribosomal RNA, 801 nt
Filed under: Triticum aestivum (bread wheat)
Lineage: Eukaryota; Viridiplantae; Streptophyta; Magnoliopsida; Poales; Poaceae
Description: partial small subunit ribosomal RNA
Source: RNAcentral
AUGUUCAUCGCAGCGAUGAGAAACUUUACAGAUGUUUUUGGAAGACUAUUGGAAAACUCUUGGUCUUCUGAUGCAGGGAGUUUUCGACGCCAUGCUCUCCAUGCUGCAGCUAUCAAUGGGAAUCAAGAAAUCGCUGCAAGAAUUAUGUGUGUACGUCCUCACCUGGCAAAAGAAGCCGAUGUGAAUGAGGAUACCCCAAUAAGACUGGCUGUCUGUUAUAAUAAGGUUGGCGUGCUACAAGUACUUCUGAAGCAUGAUAUUUCAUUAGGGUAUGAAGUAAGCAACCAAGGUUUAACUCUCCUUGCUAGUGCUGCAACUCGAGGCAAUGUUGAUGUUGCGCGAGAGCUUCUUACCUAUUGUCCCGAUGCUCCUUAUCGCCACGUGCGCCAUAAGGAAUUGACAUGCCUUCAUACAGCUGUAUGUAACGGUCAUCCGGAGUUUGUUGAAUUUAUACUCAGGACACCACAACUCCGGAAACUCAUUAACAUGCGAGACAGCAGUGGAAGAACAGCUCUACACUAUGCAAUCGAGAAGUGCAAUCCAAAAACUGUUGCUGCUGUACUGGCUCACGAGGGUAUAGACACAACAAUACGUGACCUUAAUGGUAAAUCAGCAGCUUCCCAAUUGGCAUGCAACACCGACCAUGACAAGAGUUUAGACUGGAUGGAAGUGCACGCACUUAUGUUGCAAGCUAAUCCCCAAGAUGAUGACAUAUGUUCUUAUCUCUUCAUGAGGGAAUCGAGCAAAAUGAAACUAUUGAAUCGAAGGAUGAGACACAUACAAGUGCCACGGCUAACGUGA